UGAGGAAUAUUGGACAAUGGGCGCAAGCCUGAUCCAGCCAUGCCGCGUGCAGGAAGAAGCAUCUAUGGUGUGUAAACUGCUUUUGUACGGGAAGAAACACUCCUUCGUGAAGGAGCUUUACGGUACCGUAAGAAUAAGGAUCGGCUAACUCCGUGCCAGCAGCCGCGGUAAUACGGAGGAUCCAAGCGUUAUCCGGAAUCAUUGGGUUUAAAGGGUCCGUAGGCGGUUUAGUAAGUCAGUGGUGAAAGUCCAGGGCUCAACGAUGGCACGGCCACUGAUACUGCUAGACUUGAGUUAUUGGGAAGAAACUGGAAUAUGUAGUGUAGCGGUGAAAUGCUUAGAUAUUACGUGGAACACCAAUUGCGAAGGCAGGUUACUGGUAAUGGAUUGACGCUGAUGCACGAAAGCGUGGGGAGCGAACA
This 422-nucleotide ribosomal RNA is filed under the name uncultured bacterium. Its description in RNAcentral is "bacterial SSU rRNA". It matches the Rfam family "Bacterial small subunit ribosomal RNA", at positions 355 to 774 of the family's 1533-position model. The record is from RNAcentral.